RNAcentral lists this long non-coding RNA (226 nucleotides) under Carica papaya (papaya). Its description in RNAcentral is "long non-coding RNA (CPAP_LNC014501)". The record is from RNAcentral. Lineage: Eukaryota; Viridiplantae; Streptophyta; Magnoliopsida; Brassicales; Caricaceae.
AAGAAAAAACUAGUUUUAAAGCGUCGUAUUGAUUCGGAAGAUCCUACCGCCGGACAUGAACAAAUAUUUUGUGAUGGAUUUAGGUACGCUUCCGAUUAUAUUUUUCUUUAAUUCAGUACGAGGAUGUAUGUUUAAUUUUUACAGAUCUACGAAUUUGAAAAGAAAUAUUGUUCUAACAAUUGGUAUCAGAGCCAUUUCUUUUCUCUUAUUGAAUUUUUUUGGGAAG